This 401-nucleotide ribosomal RNA is filed under the name uncultured bacterium. RNAcentral describes it as "bacterial SSU rRNA". It matches the Rfam family "Bacterial small subunit ribosomal RNA", at positions 361 to 776 of the family's 1533-position model. The record is from RNAcentral.
AUAUUGGACAAUGGGGGAAACCCUGAUCCAGCGACGCCGCGUGAGUGAAGAAGUAUUUCGGUAUGUAAAGCUCUAUCAGCAGGGAAGAAAGCAAUGACAGUACCUGAGUAAGAAGCCCCGGCUAACCACGUGCCAGCAGCCGCGGUAAUACGCAGGGGGCAAGCGUUAUCCGGAAUUACUGGGUGUAAAGGGAGCGUAGACGGUAAUGCAAGUCUGGAGUGAAAGGCGGGGGCCCAACCCCCGGACUGCUCUGGAAACUGUGUAACUGGAGUGCAGGAGAGGCAGGCGGAAGUCCUGGUGUAGCGGUGCAAUGCGUAGAUAUUAGGAGGAACACCAGUGGCGAAGGCGGCCUGCUGGACUGUAACUGACGUUGAGGCUCGAAAGCGUGGGGAGCAAACAGG